This 419-nucleotide ribosomal RNA is filed under the name uncultured bacterium. RNAcentral describes it as "bacterial SSU rRNA". It matches the Rfam family "Bacterial small subunit ribosomal RNA", at positions 89 to 507 of the family's 1533-position model. The record is from RNAcentral.
UAAGGGUGGGCGCGACGGUGGCGUAACGACGUAGGUAAGUACUGCCCUGAGGUCUGACAUAACCCGUCGAAAGGCGGGCUAACAUCAGAUGAUAUAUAGUCACGACAUCGUGGAAAUAUCAAAUCUUCGGAGCCUUGGGAUGAGCCUGCGUCUGAUUAGGUAGUUGGCGGAGUAAUAGCCCACCAAGCCUACGAUCAGUAGCUGGUCUGAGAGGAUGAUCAGCCACACUGGAACUGAGACACGGUCCAGACUCCUACGGGAGGCAGCAGUAAGGAAUAUUGCUCAAUGGGGGAAACCCUGAAGCAGCAACGCCGCGUGAAGGAUGAAAUACUUUGUAUGUAAACUUCUGUAAGAUGGGAAAAAUAUUCUCCUCGGGAGAAUUGAUUGUACCAUCAGAGUAAGCCCCGGCUAACUACGUG